RNAcentral lists this long non-coding RNA (6284 nucleotides) under Sus scrofa (pig). RNAcentral's name for it is "lncRNA (ENSSSCG00000060540.1)". The record is from RNAcentral. Lineage: Eukaryota; Metazoa; Chordata; Mammalia; Artiodactyla; Suidae.
CAAACUAUUUUUUAAAGUUCAAUACAAGUGUAUUAGAGACAACAAAAUGCAAAAUUAUUCAGCUUGAUAAGAUUUUACGUAGACAUCCACUUAUUUAACCACCAUCCAGAUCAAAGUAUGGAACAUUUCCAACACUCGGAAGCUUCCCUCGUCUCUUUCCUAGGGCUUCCCCACCCUCAUAGAAAAUUGUUCUGACUGCUCUCAUUUUAGAUGGUUUUGCCUGCUUGGGAUUUGCAUCUAAAUAGAGUCACACAGUACGUAUACUCUCCUGUGUUUGGCUUCUUCCCCUCUGAGCCAUGUUUUUUGGAGUUACAUCCAUGUCAUCACAUGACUCAGUAGUUCAUUCUUUUUCACUGCUGUGUAAUUUUCCACCUUACAAAUAUACUACAAUGUGUUUAUCCAUUUUCCUGUUGACAUAUAUUCAGAAAUGCAGAUGAAAACCACAAGGCGACACCUUUACACAUUUCCUAGAAAAGCCAAAAUGAAACAGGCUGACAAUCCAUGUGAAGAUGGUGGAGCAAAUGAAGCUCCACCUGGUGGGGGCAGGGGUGUUGGAACAGUCACUGUUCAGCAGCAUUGGCUCAAGUUGCACAUACAUCACUCUUUGACCCAGAAAUUCCAUCUUGGGUACAAACCCAAGAGAAAGACGUGUUUAUGCCUGCCAAAACACAUGUACCAGAAUGUUCACGGUCGCUUUAUUGAUAAUUCCAUCACCAUGUAAAUGGCUGCCAAGUUCUCCAUUGUGUGAACGUUCCAGUCUCCCAUUGCCCGGAAUCAGUUCUAAAUCAGGCUAGAUAAGCGACUUUAUACACACACCUUGUGUGAACUUAGAAUUGUUUCCUUAGGAUCAAUUCCCAGGCGUGGAUUGCUGAGUCAGAAGCUACAAACAUCUUUAACUAAGCUGUCCCCAAAAAGUCUACAUUGGCUCCCCCAACACUGAUCACACGUGUGUGACUAUGAGGUUUUCACAAACCCCACAGUUUAAACGUGCACAGUCCCCACCCUGGAGCCCACAGAGCUGAGGCUUUCCUGGCUCCCAGCAGUGAAAGGAAGGAAGGUUUAGGAUAAACAGGCUGCAAGCACAAUGGCCACAGCCCCCAGGGCCAGGCGCUGGGCCACCACCCUCCUUCCACCUGCUGCGGCCAGAGUGUCCUCUGGUGCCGGUGGCCUCCCACAGGCUGAGCACAUAAGGGACCAGCUGCACAGGCCCAGGAGUGCUGAUGCAGGCCAGUCAGACAUGGGACAUCAGCGGGUGAGCAGAACACCCAGCAGUUCCUCCUCCUCAGCCCGUCACCUGGGCGCUGAUUCCCUUCCAGAUUUUGCUCCCGCAGUGCCCCCAGGCUGUCGUGCCAGGCAAGCAGGCAGCUGUGUGUGCAGGGCCGCGGGGGAGCACAGCAGAAAGACCCAAGCGUCAAAGGCCUUUCCCUCUUCUUUGAGAUCAGGGCCGGGUCUACAUGAUGCGAUGUGAAGAGCCCCAAGCAGGCCCCACCUUGGCCAACGACAGUGCCCAAAAUGCUUCGUACUCCUGCCUUUGUGCUCGAUGCUGCCCCACCUGCCCAUCCACCCAGGGAGCAGCAGAGUCAGCACGAGGGAGGGAAGUUAUGAGACUCCUUCCUCCUAGUGGGAAAGGGGAAGGAAGUUUGCAGGAAGCCUGCUUCCCCAAAUUCACAAUUCAGCUGCCAGCUGUGUGGGUCAGGCCAGCUGCUCCCGCCACCAGUCAACCCCUUUCUCCACGCCACAGGAAGACCCAGUACUCAAUCUCCCCAGGUUCUUUCCUGCCGAGGGUCUGGCUUCUGUCACACACACACAAGCACACGCACACGCAUGCACACACAUGCACAUGGGGCAGGGACAAGGUGUCUGCAGAGGCCCUCGGUUCCAUGGGACACUGAGGCCCUGAGAAGAGUGACUCUCUGUCCUCAGUGGCCACAUGGAGAAGGCAGGAUGAAUAAUGUGUGGCUCCCAGAGGCCAGGCUCAGGGUGGGGGCCGAGGAACGGGAGGACAGAGGCAGGCUGAGCAGCCCCGACCCUGGCCUUCCUUCUCUGCCCAGACUGGAGCCCCCAGCUCAGGCUCCAACCUCCGCCAUCCUCUGUCUGCUCUGAGCCGCCACAGACAAUGACCGCUUCCUCCUUGCCCCAUAGCCACACACGUCUGGAGCCAGGGGCCCUCAGAGUUCUUGUAGGCCAAGCCUGUGUCUCAGGUUAGGUUCUGAGAAGCAGAGCCUGAAGGGGUGAUCCCUGUGAGAAUGCUGAACUGGGGGAGUGCCCGGGGAGCAAGGCAGUGAGGGAAGCAGGGUGGACAGAGGAGGACCGCAGCAAGGAUGUGGUGGCCUCCGGCUCCAGCCUGAUCCCAAGGGCUCUGGAGAUGACUUAUAACACAGCCCUGGCCCAGCCUGCGAGGUUCUGCGUCGAUCACCCGCUACAGGCUGGGGGCGGGGGGAUGGGGGUGCCUGGGACGUGCCAGGACAGUUCUCCAGAGAAGGGGGUGCAGUGAGCCUUAGCGGCAAGUCUCACAGCAGCUGGUAAAGGGAUCUGGGCAGAGCGCCCACCGCACCCACUGUAGUCACCCCACUCCAGGUGGGGAGCCCCCAGGUAGCCAGCUAGGUGCCAGCCCACAGACUGGCCUCAGCCAAUUCUGGGCUGUCCUGCCUGGGAAGAAAGAGCCCUGUCUCUGGAUGAGCACAGGGGGCGCCCAGGAAGCAGGCGAGGAAAGAGCAGCAGAGGCAGGGCCAGAGCAUCAGCCAAGAGCCCGUAUUUCUGGAGCAGAGGUCUCUACCUGGGGGAGCGGUUCAUAGACCUGUGCCACCCCCUGCAAUGUCACGCUGGCUGUGGUACGUGUAUAAGCAGGUGUUUGGGAGAGAAAAUCUAAAGAGUCGUGGCAUCUCAAAAGCAAGGAAGAUAAGUGUGAUUGUCAGUCCUCUCCUGGUUGUUCCCACAGACACAUUGCUGACCGGGGGGGUAUGAUAGGGACUCUGGGCUUAGGAAACGCCUGGAGAGCCCAAGACACUUUCCACACAGCCAUGUGCUCAGCCCUCUCCUUCUGGGUUUGGUGGGGCUACUGGGCUGGCCUUGACUUUGGAGAAGAAGAUGCUUCUUCUCUUCAUGGUGGGGUGGGGCUGGGCUGGAGUCCUAGGGCUGAACCCGCAAGCUACCAGAAGGCAGAACCCAGGCCAGGCCACCCUUUACACCCACAGCCCCUUUCUGCGUGUCAGAAAAGGCACUCUCAAUUGACAGAACACUGUAAACCAGCUGUAAUGGAGAAAAUAAAAGCCAUUAUAAAAUUUGUUUAAAAAGGCACUCUCACAGGGAGAGGCAAGCUACAAAAAAAACAGCCCCCUCUAAGUCAGUGGACCUGAGAAAGGGUCCCUUCUUCAGGGUGGGCUGCCCAGGCCCUCCCCACAGCUGCAUGGUCCAGCUGGCUCUAUCCUACCUCAACCAGUCAGCACUAGGAGACAGGCCCCCACCCGACCUGGGCCCCCAGAAGUUGAGACAGGGAGCAGGGGGAAGCCCGGGUGGGUGCCGAGGGCUCUGAAAGUUGAACUAGGGCAGAGCUGGGGCAGCAUCUCAAUGAAGCUGCCGACAGAUUCUGGGCCUCCAGCCAGCUACACACCAGACCUGUGAGGGGGACCCUGGCCGUGCCAGGCUGGCGACGCUGCUAAGGUCAGGGCCAGCGCACACACAGUGGCUGCCCAGCCACCAUGGCUGUGAAGGCGCCCCAAAGGCAGCGGAGGCUGAGGAACGCAAGGGCCCUGGGAGGCAGGAGCCUGAGCCUCCAUUCAAUGUAGUGACCUUCUCCACUGAGCCCUGCCAGGCGCUGGAGACAUCUAGAUGUGCGUCCGAGGGGGUCAGCAUCUUGUGUCUGUGGGGAAAGGGAGGCAUGUCUGUGGGUUUUCCAUUAAAUCCAAUGCCAUGGACCUCAAUCCCUCGAUCCUACCUGCUGGUGAGAAUCAUCUGCGCCUUAAAGCGCUACAGCCUCUGGGCCCCACGAGGAUUCCAUGACUCUGAAGUAAGGUCAUGCCAUAUUUAUUCAUUUAUGUUUAGGCUCUGGGAUAUUCUACUGUGCAGCCGGCCAGGGCAAAGGACUAUUGAAUUGAUCAUUCCCUCCAAGAGAGGCUCCUAUUUCCAGAAAGGGGCUGGGAGACCAAUUAGGUUUGGGAAAUACCUUCUCUUCUAGCUCCUCUUCUUGUCACAGGACCGGCUAACAGAUCAAAGAACUUUCCAAGCCAAAAAACUUUGCUCUGGGGAGUUCCCAUCGUGGCGCAGUGGUUAACGAAUCUGACUAGGAACCAUGAGGUUGCAGGUUCGGUCCCUGCCCUUGCUCAGUGGGUUAACGAUCCGGCGUUGCCGUGAGCUGUGGUGUAGGUUGCAGAUGCGGCUUGGAUCCCGCGUUGCUGUGGCUCUGGCGUAGGCCGGUGGCUACAGCUCCGAUUCAACCCCUAGCCUGGGAACCUCCAUAUGCCGCGGGAGCGGCCUAAGAAAUAGCAACAACAACAACAACAAAAGACAAAAAGACAAAAGACAAAAAAAAAAAAACAAAACUUUGCUCUGGAAAUGCGUUGUUCUUGGCGGUGAUGGUGGUGGCGUGUGCGCACGUGCGCCUGUGCCGUAUCAUCUCCAUUUUAGAAAUGAGAUUCCAAGAGGUUAAGGAAUUUCUGUGAUGCGGUCACUGUGGUCAGAUGCAGAGCUCUCUCUUCUUGACACAUUGUUCCCACUCAACACCCCCUAAACACCUCCAGAUACGGACCUCUCAGCAGCUCCCCCUGGGAGUCAGGUGGCCUUGGGGGUAGGGGUGGGGAGGGCGGUGGCAAAAGGCUCACCCAGCCCCCACCCCACCCCGGGUCCCACUGGGACUCCUGUCUCUCCCUGCAGUCAGGCCCCAGUCCUCCUGGAGGCCAGGAUGCUCCUUCAUCCUGUCCGGCCCCUCGUGGAGCAGAUGUGACAGAACCCGUCCUCCCUAAGGGGGCGCUUGUGUCUUCCAUGUGCCCAGCCCUUGUGGUCAGGUUUGGUGCAGAUUUUCAAUCCUCCCAGCUGUCCGUCUCCUCAGAGGGCGGGGAGGAAGGCGGACGGUUUCCAAAUUCUGUUCCUGGGGUCCAUAUCACGAACAUGGCUUCCCCACACUAAGCAGGUCAUGCUUCCAGGCAGAUGGAAGCAUUUUUGCUUUUUAGGGCUGCACCCACGGCAUGCAGGUGAGGGGUGGAAUUGGAGCUACAGCCACAGCCCACACCAGAUCCGAGCUGCAUCUGUGACCUACACCACAGGUCACAGCAACGACAGAUGCUUAACCCACUGAGCAAGGCCAGGGAUCAAACCCGAGUCCUCAUGGAUCCUAGUCAGGUUCUGAGCCACAGCGGGAACUCCACGUGACCAUCUUUAAAUAGGGCUUGAGGCCCCACAAGCUUCAAAACUCAGGCUGCUCUUCUGAUACCUUAGGCUGGGCAUCAGUCCCCCUUCCAAAGGAAUUUCAACACCCCCCUCCCUCUGGCCCAGGUUGCUGCAUUCCUUCAGCAAAAGGGCGCUCCUAGAGCUGAUGAAACCUGGGUCCUGGGAUGCAGGCUGGCCCAGAAGCACAGCUGAGCUCUCAGAAGCUGCACAAAGACGCGUGUGGGAAAGUCUUAGAGCAUGUUGGUUUCUCUCUGGCUAAAUCUAAUUAAGAUGAAAUGUUAGCUUCCUUGGGAGUCUGCCUCGCCCACUGGGCAGUUGCUGGGGCCUGUGAAAACUCUCUGGCUUCCCCAUAGCAAGACUCACCCAAAAUGUGUCCGGUUCCUCCUGAACUCUGAUUUUAGCAACAAAUCCUUGUCUUCCUGUGAGAUGUGUGGAGGAUAAACUUCUGUUUCCCAGGGAAGUUUAUGAACGAAAAUCUAGCCCAUCGGUGGGGAACUCCACAGCCACCUAACAAAUCUUUCUUAUUCCCUGAACAGCCCCAGCUGAAAGCAAGUAAAACAGGCAGUCAGAAUCAGGGAGGUGUAGGAAGAGACCAGGGGACGAAGUGCUGUGACAGUGAGCAAGGCACAGGCAAUAACUCGUGGUCCAGAGAGACAGGCUGGUGGCAUCUGGAAGUCAGCUUGGGGAGCCUAGGGGCUAAGCAAGCAUAGUCUUAGAUGACAGGUCCUCCAAGGUGGGCCCACUGGCUAGCACCCCAGCACCUGGGAGGGCUGACGGCUUGACUUGAGCAGGCAGAGUAAUUGCGUACACGCAGGUGCCUCUCAAUGGAAAUUAUGUGUUUUAGUUUAUUUAAUCUUCCCAACAAUUCUGUAAUGUUCCUACUAUACAGGUGAAGUGCCAGG